GAAAUGCGAUAAGUAAUGCGAAUUGCAGAAUUUCCGUGAGUCAUCGAAUCUUUGAACGCACAUUGCGCCCUUUGGCAUUCCGAAGGGCAUGCCUGUUCGAGCGUCAUUAUCCUCUCUCAAACCCCCGGGUUUGGUGUUGGACCGCGUUGGCCGGCCACGGCCAACUGGUCUCAAAGACAAUGACGGCGUCCCAGGGACCCUCUUCGCACUGAGCUUUCCGGAGCACGCGUAGAGUUUCAAGGGCCCAGGGACCCGGUCGCCUCUAAAAACUUUUUUUCAGGUUGACCUCGGAUCAGGUAGGAAUACCCGCUGAACUUAA
RNAcentral lists this unclassified non-coding RNA (319 nucleotides) under uncultured fungus. Its description in RNAcentral is "sequence contains ITS1". The stretch from base 1 to 106 matches the Rfam family "5.8S ribosomal RNA", at positions 50 to 154 of the family's 154-position model. The record is from RNAcentral. Lineage: Eukaryota; Fungi.